UACAUGGGGUGCAAACGUUGCUCGGAAUCAUUGGGCGUAAAGCGCGCGUAGGCGGUUACUUAAGUCGAAUGUGAAAGCCCUCGGCUUAACCGAGGAAGUGCAUCCGAAACUGAGUAGCUAGAGUACGAAAGAGGGUCGCGGAAUUCCCGGUGUAGAGGUGAAAUUCGUAGAUAUCGGGAGGAACACCUGUGGCGAAGGCGGCCCCCUGGUUGGAUACUGACGCUGAUACGCGAAAGCGUGGGGAGCAAACAGG
RNAcentral lists this ribosomal RNA (253 nucleotides) under uncultured bacterium. RNAcentral's name for it is "partial 16S ribosomal RNA". It matches the Rfam family "Bacterial small subunit ribosomal RNA", at positions 524 to 776 of the family's 1533-position model. The record is from RNAcentral.